This 4641-nucleotide long non-coding RNA is filed under the name Homo sapiens (human). RNAcentral describes it as "non-protein coding lnc-BCL2L10-2:3". Lineage: Eukaryota; Metazoa; Chordata; Mammalia; Primates; Hominidae. The record is from RNAcentral.
GAGAUGACAUGCUGAAAGCAAACUAAGAAGACAUGGCUGGCCUGCUGACCCUGCCUGCUCUCAUCUCAGCCCUGAUACUUUUUAACUGAAUGACAUUGGCCAAGUGUCAUAAAUUGUUUAAUACAGUGGCUGCCUCAGCAUCCAUUUUCAGGCCUGACCUAAGUUGUCUGAAGCCCAGUCUCACUGUAUCACCUCUGGUCUGGGUAACACUUCCCCUCCCUGAGUGGUUGUUUGUAAUGCGGCCCAUUUGCUCUUCAUCGCACUGACCCAGAACCCACACAUCACACAGCUGCUGACCACGAUCAAACCUAACGGCCAACACCAGACUCCUGUGAAUAAGCCCCGCUUUGCACGUGUUCUUCUUGAAUCAGCCAAGCCACACCCCCACGGGAAAGCCCCAGGACAAAGCUCCAGGCCCUCCCUCUCCUCUCUGGCUUCCCGUGGCCCCUGAACUCCCCCUCGGGCUCCCUCUGCUCGCCGGACCUCUCUGGGAUGUGACCACCCUGGCUGCGAUGUGGUAACUAAAGACAGCAAAUACUGAAGCAGGAAAGAGAAGGUCCUUCUAACAGGAGAGACAUAAUGGCUGACUGGACCGGGGGAGGGAUAGUAAGAGUGACAGUAACAAGCCGUUAAGAGUCUGGAUAUAGUUUGAAGAAAGAGCCCACAGGAUCUGUGCUAACAGAAAUGAAGGACAAUGACAAGAUUUUUGUCUAAGCAACUGAAAAAUGGAGGUACUGGUUUGCUAACAUGAGUAAAAACAACGUAUGAGGAAGAAAUAUCAGGGGCCCAGUUCUGGGUAGGUUAACUUUGUUAUUAGACAUCUGAGUGGAGAUAUUGAGUUAAGGAACCUGGAAUUCAGACGAGAGGUCAGGGCUGAAGAUAUAAAUUCAGGAGUCAUCAUAAAUUCAGGAGUCAUCAUCAGAUAUAGAUAAUUCUUAAAGGAAUGAAAAAGAAUGAGACUACCCAGGGACUAAGUGAAGCUAGAGAAGCAGGGAGCCCAAGGACUGAAUCUGGGAUACUUCCAACACGAGGAGAAAGAGAACUGGCAAGGGUGACUGGAAAGAGGCCAGGGAAGAAUUCAAGAGUGGCGUGCCCAAAGACAGGUGAAAAAGCACCUGAAGAGGUGAAGAUCAAUUGCAACAAAUGCUGGAGAUGGCUCAAAAUGAGGACUUAGAAUUGACAAGGGAUUUAGCAUUAUGGAGAUCACUGGUGACCUGUGGAGAGUGGUUUCUGGUGGAGGACAAAGCCUGACUGGACAGGGUGAAAGACAGAAUGUAAGCAGAGGAAUUAAGAGCAGCAAGGAUGCACGCAUCUUUUGAGAAGUUUUACAUCCAACGAGUACAGUAAAGUGAAGAUGCAAGAGAUAGAAGUGCUACAGCAGGAAAGAGGGAAAAUAUCUACUGCCCAAGUACAAGUGUUAACCUGGGACAGGAACACCUAUAGAGAGACAAUCUGGACACACAAGAGAAAUGCACCAAAAAAUAAGACACACAGGCUAAAAACACACUGAUUUCCAAUGAGUGCUUGGUCCUUACCUUUUGUUGCUCUGUUCAUUUGCAACUUAUACCUAAUUAAUAACCACUCAGAUUUCCCUUCGUGUUUUUAUUGAAUGGGUCACUGACAAAAAUCAAUAAAGCACCUGGCAACUAGAAACAAACUACAAUCUAGAUCUUUCCAAUCAUUUCAUUGCAAACUAUUCCUAUUAAAUGUAAAACUAUGCUACUUAAGAGUUUUAAAACAAAUCCAAUUAUUUUUAUUCCUAUAUUUAAUGUCCGAAUGUGCAUUGAACAUUUAAAAACAAACAUUUAAAAAUACACAAAUACAGCCGAGAGCAGUGGCUCACACCUGUAAUCCCAGCACUUUGGAAGGCUGAGGCAGGUAAUGACCUGAGGUCAGGAGUUCAACACCAACCUGACCAAUAUGGUGAAAUCCUGUCUCUACUAAAAUUUCAAAAAUUAGCCGGGCAUGGAGGCAUGCACCUAUAGUCCCAGCUACUCGGGAGGCUGAGGCAGGAGAAUCGCUUGAACCCGGGAGGAGGAGGUUUCAGUUAGCUGAGCUCAUGCAACUGCACUCCAGCCUAGGCGACAGAGCGAGACUCCUCCAAAACAAACAAACAAACAAAAAAACCCUUUGUAUAAUCCAUGCAGCAGCAGUAGGUACUGACUCACUUCUAUGACUUGGAGCAUGACCAAAUGAUUUUUCAUUAUAUAGACUUAAAUUUGUUUUUGUUCUAAGACAAAGUCUUGCUCUGUUGCUCAGGCUGGAGUAAGUGGCAUGAUCACAGCUCACUGUAGCCUUGACCUGCCGGGCUCAAGCAAUCCUCCCACCUGAGCCCCUUGAAUAGCUGGGACCACAGGUGUGUGCCACCACACCCAGCUACAUUUUUGUUUUUUGUCGAGACAGGGUCUCACUAUGCUGCCCAGGCUGGUCUCUAACUCCUGGGCUCAAGUGAUCCUCUGGUCUCAGCCUCCAAAAGUGCUGGGAUUACAUGUAUUAGCCACCACACCUGGCUUGUUUUUCUGACUCGUUACUGUGGUGGCUUUAAAAUGUGUCCACUUGGCCGGACACGGUGGCUCUUGCCUGUAAUCCCAGCACUGUGGGAGGCCAAGGCACACAGAUCACCUGAGGUCAGGAAUUUGAGACCGGCCUGGCCAAAAGGGUGAAACUACUAAAAAUACAAAAGUUAGCUGGGUGUGGUGGCAGAUGCCUGUAAUCCCAGCUACUUGAGAGGCUGAGGCAGGAGAGUCGCUUGAACCUGGGAGGCGGAGGUUGCAGUGAGCCAAGAUCGCACCAUUGUACGAUUGUUGGCUAGGCAACAAGAGGAAGACUCAGUCUCGGAAAAAAAAAAUUAUAUAUAUAUGUAUGUGUGUAUCUAUGUAUGUGUAUAUGUGUGUGUGUGUGUGUGUGUAUAGAUAUAUGUAUGUACACUUUACCCUUGUUCAUUCGAGAAGGUAAAAAAUGAAAAAAAAAGGUCCAAAAAUUCUUUUGAUACUCCUCCCUUUAAAGGGUGGAACUGAACUCCGCUCCCAUUGACCAUGAAGCGUACUUAGUGACUCACUUCUAACACAUAAAGCUAAAGUUGACAGUAUGUAACUUUUGAGACUUGGUCACAAAAAGAUAUUUUACAUGUGUGGUCAACUGAUUCUUUAUGAAAGUGUCAAGAUAAUUCAGUGGGGAAAGAAUCUUUUCAACAAAUGGUGCCAGGACAAGAGGAUGUCCACAUGCAAAAGAAUGUGUAAAAGUUAAUCCCUUCCCGUCCCACCCACCCCCAAUACAGAGUCUCGCUCUGUUGGCCAGGCUGGAGUGCAGUGGCAAGAUCUCGGCUCACUGCAACCUCCACCUCCCAGGUUCAAGCAAUUCUCCUGCCUCAGCCUCCCGAGUAGCUGGGAUUGUAGGUGCGCGCCACCAUGCCCAGCUAAUUUUUGUAUUUUUAGUAGAGACAGGGUUUCACCAUGUUGGCCAGGCUGUUCUCAAACUCCUGAUCUCAGGUGAUCCACUUGCCUCCGCAUCCCAAAGCGCUGGGAUUACAGGUGUGAGCCACCGCGCCCAGCUGUAUAAGAAUCCUAUAAAACUCUCAGAAGACAACACAGGAGAAAACAUCCAUGACCUUGGGUCAGGCAAUUAUUCCUCAGACAUGACACCAAAAACAAAAGAGACAAAAGAAAAAGGUAACUGGACUUCAGAAUUAAAAUCUUGUUUCAGGCCUGGCAUAGUGGCUCACACCUGUAAUCCCAGCACUUUGGGAGGCUGAGGCGAGUGGAUCAUGAGGUCAGGAGUUCGAGAUCAGCCUGACCAACGUGGUGAACCCCGUCUCUACUAAAAAUACAAAAAUCAGCUGGGCAUAGUGGUAUGUGCCUGUAAUCCCAGCUACUCAGGAGGCUGAGGGAGGAGAAUUGCUUGAACCCAGGAGGGAGAGACUGCAGUGAGCCGAGAUCAUGCCACUGUACUCCAGCCCAGGCAAGAGAGCAAGACUCUGUCUUAAAAAAUCAAUCAAUCAAUCAAUCAAUCAACCAAUCAAUCAAUCAAUCAAUCAACCAAUCAAUCAAUCUUGUUUCAAAAGACACUAUAAAGAAAGGGAAAAAAAACUGCAGAAUAGGAGAAAAUACAUGUAAAUCACAAAAUAUUUGUAUUCAGAAUUAUGUAAAGAAUUCUUACAACUCAAUAAUAAAAAGACAACCCAAUUUAAAAAAUGGGCAAUAGAUCUGGACAGACAUUCAAUCAUCCAUUAGUUAUUAGGGAAAUGCAAAUCAAAACCACAAUGAGGCCGGGUGCAAUGGCUCCCACCUGUAAUCCUUGCACUUUGGGAGGCCAAGGCGGGCAGAUCACUUCAGGUUAGGAGUUCGAGACCAGCCUGGCCAACAUGGUGAAACCCCGUCUCUACUAAAAACACAAAAAUUAGCUGGGCGUGGUGGCACAAGCCUUUGUAAUCCCAGCUACUCGGGAGGCUGAGAGCAGGAGAACUGUUUGAACCUGGGUGGCAGUGGUUGCAGUGAGCCAAGAUCACACCACUGCAUUCCAGCCUGGAUGACAAAGCAAGACUCUGUCUCAAAAAAAAAAAAAAAAAAAACCACAAUGAGAUACUACUUCAUACCCGAUAGGAUGGCUAUACUCAAAAAGACAAAAUUUAACUCUCAUGCAUUG